This 660-nucleotide ribosomal RNA is filed under the name Citrobacter werkmanii. RNAcentral's name for it is "bacterial SSU rRNA". It matches the Rfam family "Bacterial small subunit ribosomal RNA", at positions 763 to 1423 of the family's 1533-position model. The record is from RNAcentral. Lineage: Bacteria; Pseudomonadati; Pseudomonadota; Gammaproteobacteria; Enterobacterales; Enterobacteriaceae.
GGGGAGCAAACAGGAUUAGAUACCCUGGUAGUCCACGCUGUAAACGAUGUCGACUUGGAGGUUGUUCCCUUGAGGAGUGGCUUCCGGAGCUAACGCGUUAAGUCGACCGCCUGGGGAGUACGGCCGCAAGGUUAAAACUCAAAUGAAUUGACGGGGGCCCGCACAAGCGGUGGAGCAUGUGGUUUAAUUCGAUGCAACGCGAAGAACCUUACCUGGUCUUGACAUCCACAGAACUUAGCAGAGAUGCUUUGGUGCCUUCGGGAACUGUGAGACAGGUGCUGCAUGGCUGUCGUCAGCUCGUGUUGUGAAAUGUUGGGUUAAGUCCCGCAACGAGCGCAACCCUUAUCCUUUGUUGCCAGCGGUUAGGCCGGGAACUCAAAGGAGACUGCCAGUGAUAAACUGGAGGAAGGUGGGGAUGACGUCAAGUCAUCAUGGCCCUUACGACCAGGGCUACACACGUGCUACAAUGGCAUAUACAAAGAGAAGCGACCUCGCGAGAGCAAGCGGACCUCAUAAAGUAUGUCGUAGUCCGGAUUGGAGUCUGCAACUCGACUCCAUGAAGUCGGAAUCGCUAGUAAUCGUGGAUCAGAAUGCCACGGUGAAUACGUUCCCGGGCCUUGUACACACCGCCCGUCACACCAUGGGAGUGGGUUGCCAUCA